UCUUGUAGCACUAAAGUGCUUAUAGUGCAGGCAAUGUUUAGUCGUCUACUGCAUUAUGAGCACUUCAAGUCCUGCAAG
Molecule: microRNA precursor, 78 nt
Filed under: Ornithorhynchus anatinus (platypus)
Lineage: Eukaryota; Metazoa; Chordata; Mammalia; Monotremata; Ornithorhynchidae
Description: mir-17 microRNA precursor family
Rfam family: mir-17 microRNA precursor family
About the family: This family represents the microRNA (miRNA) precursor mir-17, family, which includes mir-20, mir-91, and mir-103. miRNAs are transcribed as ~70nt precursors (modelled here) and subsequently processed by the Dicer enzyme to give a ~22nt product. In this case the mature sequence comes from the 3' arm of the precursor.
Source: Rfam by way of RNAcentral